UAUGAAAUCAAUGUACCUUAAAGAGCAUCUCAAGCAGGUUGGACUUUAUAUUCCUAAUGAAAGGUCUUAACAAUGUUGCUUCAGACUCAGCUGCAGUUCAGCCUCUCACUUUUCUGCUCCUAAAUACAAUUUUAUUUGGUAUCUUAAAAUCAAGUUCCAGCAAAUUCCAUAUGGUCUUGUUGUGAAUCACGAGCCUACUGUGUGUCUUCUCUGAAUACUGGCUUGGCUUUGCACAGAUUUACAUAGAAAAGGCUCAGAAUAAAAACUUGCAUUGCCUCCACUGGAAGAAGCUGAGAUGUGUUUUUAGUUCGUUGUUGGUAUGAAAAGUCAAACAAAAAUAUACUGUAAAAAUAAAAAAAGAUGUUUGGCACAUGGUCGUGGGUUGAUGUGAUAAUUAUAAACACAGGGGUUUUUUUUCAACAGAAUUGAAUUUUUGAUUCCAACAUCCCUCUUUUAAAUAGAUUAUUUUAUUUUUAAAAGGAAAUUUCAGAACAUUGUCAACGAGAGGCAGCUUUAACCUGGGUAAUGGAGGUGUUCUUUUUCCAACUCAGAUCCCACCAUCCCAUUGCAAUCAACUGUUGAGGAAUAACAAAACUCAUGACAAUGUUUGGUGCAGCUCUAACACAGAGUGAAGUGAGAACUGCACACUCUCCAUCUGCCCCAUUGCCUGUGGAGCCACUGCUCCUCAGAGACAUCUCCACCCGCUGCUGCUCCCUCCUUGCUGCUGGAGGAACUCUGGGAGAAGGGGACCUUGAGCCAGGAUCCAUCCCACUGAGCUCUCCUCCUCCUCACUCCUGCUCUGGAGGAAGGGAGAUCCACAGACCUGCAGUGACCUCACCCUUGCAGACCUGCAUCCAAACCACCUUUUACUUCCGGGGCAGAAUAAGUGGGGUUUUCUCCUUUUCUGUUAAAUGUGAUGAUAAUUCAGAGAUACUGUACCUCUUUUUUUUUGGUAGCAAAUGACUUUUUAAAAGUUAUAUGACACCCAUGUAAGGAAAUCUUUGAGUGAAAUUAAUCCAAAGCUGCUGGGCCCACGUCAAGUUGUCAGGAGCUUUUCAAUCCCAC
RNAcentral lists this long non-coding RNA (1065 nucleotides) under Lepidothrix coronata (blue-crowned manakin). RNAcentral's name for it is "lncRNA (ENSLCOG00000010001.1)". Lineage: Eukaryota; Metazoa; Chordata; Aves; Passeriformes; Pipridae. The record is from RNAcentral.